Molecule: long non-coding RNA, 6304 nt
Organism: Dreissena polymorpha
Lineage: Eukaryota; Metazoa; Mollusca; Bivalvia; Myida; Dreissenidae
Exons: 2
Source: RefSeq, a predicted model, not a curated record
UUUUUUAAACAUUGUUAAAAAAAUACAAAUAUUGAUUUUUAUUUUAUUUUGAAAGACCAUCCAAUCAUCCCACCCAAGAAUCCCCCCCUCCAAAUUAGUUUUUUUCAUUUUUAGCUCCACUGGCCAGAGGCCAGCGGGUUUUAUGUCAUGGUCCUGUGUCUGUCGUGCGUGCGUCUGUGCGUUAACUUUUUCUUUAAACAUCUUCUUCUCCUAAACUACUGGUCCAAUUCUGAUGAAAUUUCUCAGGAAUGUUCCUGGGGUGAACCUUUUUCAAAUUUGUUCAAAUUAUCUCCCUGGGGUCAAAUUUGACCCUGCCCCGGGGGGUCGAAACAUUGAAAAUUUGCUUAUAUAAAGGCCUAUUUUGUGAAAAAAAAUUCUCAUCCAUAACCAUUGGGCCUAGGGCUACCAAAUUUGGUAUGAAGUGACAUCUUAUAGUCCUCUACCAAGUUUCUUCAAAUGUUGCCCCUGGGGUCAAAUUUGACCCUGCCCUGGGGGGUCAGAAAAUUUGCUUAAAUAAGGCCUAUUUUGUGAAAACUUUAAAAAUCUGCUCAUCCAUAACCAUUGGGCCUAAGGCUACCAAAUGUGGUAUGUAGUGACAUCUUAUAGUCCUUUACCAAGUUUCUUCAAAUUAUGCCCCUGGGGUAAAAUUUGACCCUGCCCGGGGGGGGGUCAAAAAAUUGAAAUUUGCUUAUAUAAGGCCUAUUUUGUGCAAACUUUAAAAAUCUUCUUGUCCAUAACCGUAUGGCAUAGGGCUUCCAAAUUUGGUAUGUAAUGACUUCUAAUAGUCCUCUACCAAGUUUGUUCAAAUUAAGUUCCUAAGAUCAAAUUUCACCGUUCCCCAGGGGUCACAAAGUUGAACAUUUGCUUAUAUUGGGCCCAUUUUGUGCAAACUUUAAAAAUCUUCCUGUCCAUAACCAUUGGGCCUAUUUCUACCAAAUUCGGUAUUUAGUGACAUCUAAUAGUUCUCUACUAAGUUUGUUCAAAUUAUGCCCCUGGGGACACAUUUGACCCUGCCCUGGGGGGUCACAAAAAUGAACAUAUGCUUAAAUAAGGCCUAUUUUGUGCAAACUUUAAAAAUCUUCUUGUUCAUAAUUAUAGAGCCUAGGGCUACUAAGUUUGGUUUGUAGUGAUAUCUAAUAGGCCUCUACCAAAUUUGUUCAAAUUAUUCCCCUGGGCUAAAAUUUGACCCUGCCCUGAGGGUCACAAAACUGAACAUAUGACGUUUACCAGGGGAGAUUACUGCGGCUGUGUGGCUGUGACCAACAACAACAACAACAUCUUGUAAACAUGAGAUAAAACCCUGUCAUUUAGUUCCAUUUUAGAUCAGAUUGUGACUGCUUACAAAGGAAUUGAAGUAAGAAAAAGUGUUAUGAUUUUUUUUCUUAUAAACUGUAGAAAGUCGGGUUUUAUUUAAAUAUGUCGAAAGUGAACAUAUAUCCGGAUAAAAAUAUUUCGGAUGACAUGUUAAUUUCAUGUCUUUUUGUAGUGCUUAAAACAGUUUAAUAAUAUCUUAUUGAUUUUAAAAACACAACUUCCAUGAACAUAAUUAUUUCAUGAAAAGUCAAUAUACGAUACUGCAUGGUAAACUCGAACUUUGUAUCCAAGAGAAGGUGUUUGAAUUAAUGAAGUGCAAUGUUCUUAACUAUCGUAUAUGAUGCUUUUUAAUUACUAAUGAUUCAUUGUUCCAUUUGUGAAUCGUGACUCAUGAAUUGUGGAUAUGAUUGACAAUUGCUCAACGAUCCAUAUAUAUUUCUGACCAUUUUAUAAUUUUCUUAAAAUAAGUUAUGAAUUGAUCUUAGAAGUCAAAUGUAUUACUUAAUUAAAUACAUUUAUAAAUAUAAAGAAAUAAUCUUUAGAUUAUCAUAAUAUUCUCAGGCCUGUUGGUCUUAGGGAUGUGUGGGUUGUUAAUUAUAUUUUGAGAUGAUUCUUUACAAAGAAAGAUGCUACUAUUGUAUUUGUUAUAAAUGUGUGAAAGGCUCUUAGAAGGAACCAGAGAUUAUUAACCCUUUACCAAACACUAACAGGAUUUUACGGGUUUGUAGCUGACAACUUUAUAAAUAAUUGUGAUAAAAGGAGAAAUUGCUCAAGAUGAGCAAUUUCUCCUUUUAUCACAAUUAUUUCUACCCUACCUGAUCAUUUUUUGCAACCUCUUUCAAAUUGAGAAAGUCCAAAAUGUGUCGUUUGGUAAAGGGUUAAGGCAUUUUGAUUCCUAUGGGUCUUGUGAAUCUGUUUCAAAUCAAAUGCAUAGAUUUGAUCUUCACCAUCUAAAAAUAUGUGAAAUAGAAAGAACGACAAUAUCUUUGGAGAGAUAAAUGUACCUACGUUAUAAGCAAAGGACCUGUGCAACAAUUCCCGGGCUUUUUAGUCUGUUUAGUUUAGUCCAACUUUUAAGCGCCCAGUGGGACGAGGGAUAGAAAGAGAAAGUCACAUGCUUAAGAACAUUUCAACCCAUGCGCAUUGCACGUUUUUUUUUCGCAUAAAAAAACAGUGGAGCGAUACAGGGCCAUCAUGGCCCUCUUGUUUUCUUAUUUUUGGAAGAUUAUGUAUUAAAUGACCUCACCCCCCACACUAUACACCCCUCUCCACCCCCACCCCUCCCUCCUUUUUGAAUGAAGUAUUGAGAUAGGUCCCUUCACCUUUAAAAAGAAAAAAAAGAUGAGCGGUCUGCACCCGCUUGGCAGUGGUCUUGUUAUUAUUUAGUUCCAAUUUUUAUGUUUAUCAAUUUAAAGCCUUUAAUGACAAACUUCAAUACAUGCCAAAAUUGUGAGAAUCUCCCUUAAAAGUAUAGUUUAAUGUAGUUGAUGGUUUACAUUUAGAAUAAAUAUAAUGUCAACAUUGCAUGAAAUAAUAAAUAUUAAAUGCAGUAAACUAAGACAAAAAUCCAAUUAUUCAAACCAAUUUACUUAGCCAAUUUAGAUAAGUUCUUGACAUAUCAUACAUGUAUCAUCAAAAUGUAGUUAAUUAAAAUAAUAAUUGUUUUGUUAAUUUUUUUUAACAAAGUUAUAAUAUGUUUCAAGAACUUUUCUGAAUUUAUUUUACAAACACUGCAGAAUUCAUGUAAAGACAGUUUGUGCUAGCCACAUAAAUGCAGUGUUCUUUACAUAGAACAAACAAGAAAACCCUAAAUCUUUCAGUUUAAAUGGUUACAUUUACUUAAUUUGAAUAGUAAUUGUAUGAAAAAAUGACUAUUAUAGCACAUAAGAUUAUAUAGUUUGUUUUUCCUCUUUUAACAACGAUCUAAACAGAGAAAUAUUUGAUAAAGUAUGACAUGGUUUGCAUGGGUCAUUAACUGUUUUUAGUGUUGAUCCAUCAGUGUCACACUUUAAUGGGUUUAAUCAAAGAUAUCUGGUUUGCUUGAUAACAAAGCCAUGGCAUGGUUCGAUAUGGAGGAGUCUGUUACCUCUAGUUCGAUAACCAAGACAUGGCAUGGUUUGAUAUGGGGGUGCCUGCUACCUCUAGCUAGAUAUCCAAGACAUGGCAUGGUUUGAUAUGGAGGUUCAUGUUACCUCUAGCUAGAUAACCAAGACAUGGCAUGGUUUGAUAUGGAGGUGCAUGUUACCUCUAGAUAGAUAACCAAGACAUGGCAUGGCUUGAUAUGGAAGUGCAUGUUACCUCUAGCUAGAUAACCAAGACAUGGCAUGGUUUGAUAUGGAGGUGCCUGUUACCUCUAGCUAGAUAACCAAGACAUGGCAUGAUUUGAUAUGGAGGUGCCUGUUGCCUAUAUACAGGACUUUAGUAGUAUAUUGUGUUGGGUGUAAGUAAUGUGGCUAUAACUGCAUUGAUAUUAUAUUGCGUUCUCUAACAAGCAUUAAAAGAAGGCCUAUUUGUGUAUGAUUACUUUGAUCAUGACUCAGGGAAAAUGGGACUUAAUGUACCUGCUUAAAGUGUUGUCUCGGGUUAUCCUGUGCAGUAUCGAAGACGACAGUUUCAGAUGUAACGGAAUGUUUGUGUUUAAAGGAAGUCUCUUCUAAAUGAAAAUCCAGUCUAGGCAGAAAGUGUUUUCCCAGAUUAACCUGUAAGGCCAACACAGGCUAAUCUGAGACAAUACAUUACACACAUACAUUAACUCUUUCAGUGCGGGAACGGAAUUUUGAAGGCCUUUGCAAACAGUUUGGAUCCAGAUGAGAAGCCACAGAACGUGGCGUCUCAUCAGGAUCCAAACUGUUUGCUAUUCUGAUAAUAUUCUUGGAAAAAAAAACGAAAAAAAUGCUAAUUUUAGAAAUCAAGCAGACGACAUUUUAGCAGACGGCAAAUUCCCAGCAUGCAAAGGGUUAAGUCCUGUUUUCCAAGAGCUUGACUCAAAUUAAUCAUACACAAAAAGGCUUUCUUUACAGGACUGAGGCUCAUGUUUGUUAGUUUGUUUCAUGAGAAUUUUGUGCUAAAGGGUCACGCAUUAUGGCACAUGCAGGAUGAUGUAUGUGUAUUUUUGCUCAGGAUAGUUCCGGAGCAUUUUAGCUCAAUAUUGUAUUGUACUUAAUUUUUUGUACCUGCCUUCUUUAGCAACCACAUAGCAUGCUUUCUAGCUGUUUGUCAUAUUCAUUGUAUAAUCAUUUGAAGCGUAUUUCUAAUCUUAUAGAUCAACUGAUUGUAAAUGGUGAGGCAAAUUUUCUUUAAUUGCUUCUGUCAAACCUCUUUUGCACACUGCGACUCGCAUUUUUUGCCCAAUCAUCAUGAAACGUUCUGCUAACAUUUGUUCUUAUAAUAUCUAAACUGUUCUGUUUAGUAGUUAAAACUCUGUUGAUGUUGUGUUGAUGGCUAUAGUGAUUGCCAGUUGUUCCCUCAUGCUUGAUCAUCCAUUCACGUGACGGAAAUUUAUUUAUGACGAAUUGGUUUUCUUAUUAUGUUUGGGUUAGAAUUCCAUGAUACUUCUGAAUACCUCUUAUAUCAUAACAGGUCUGUGUUAAAAAUUGUGUUGCUUGGUUUUGUAUCGCACUGUGGCAUUUAAACCGUUUUUUGAGAAUGUGCUGUAUCAUGUUUUGAGAUUGACAGUUACCAAAAAAGAUGUGCUUUGAAAGCAUUCUCAACAUCGAAAGUGUAUAAUUUGUGUAAAUUUUCUCUUUCAUCACAAACUUAGAACUUAUCUUAAAUCUUGAUAGAAUAAAUGGUUAGAAUGUAAUGUACUGUUAGUAUUCAUACAUUCACUGCAGCUGAGUAUUUGAAUUUAAAAUUAGGCUACUUAUAAAAUUAUGAAUUAUAAUGUAUAUUGUAUGAAGCCACAGGUAACUGACUUUUGCAAUGCCUUACAUUGAUAAAAAAUCACUUAUCGUUGCUUCUAUUUUGUUAUAAAACUUUGUUCAAGAAAUCUGUCCACAAUGAUGCCAAUAAAAAUCUCAGCUAAUAUGGUAUUUGAAUUUAAAUUUAUAUUCAGAAAAAUAUUUAUUUUCAACAUUCUGGUGAAACUAAAUAUGUUUGGCGUUGACUAUGGUUAAAUAAAAAACAUUGAUUGGUUCUUUCCCAAAGAAAAAUUUAAAGGACAAAAUAAAGUUCAAAUGAACCAAACAUCAUACAUGCCAUAAUUUUUCAGACCAAUUCCGGGACAUUGAGUUAAAUUGUCCGGGACUUUUGCCGAUUUUCCGGGACAUGUAUAAAAUGUAGCGAUAUUUAUAGACAUAUGCAUUUUUUGUACGUUUUUUUCUUGUUUCGCAUCGUUAAUUGCAAAAGUUCGAAAGACUAUCCGAAAUACACUUGAUCUAUGAACGUCAAAUUAAACAUUACUACUUCCGUUACUAGAUACAAGCCACGUGUUUUCAGUGUAAGCGUUCUAAACAUAGAUGGUGACGUCACUGCGUUAUUGUUAUUAAGACCGGUGUCUGCUUUUAAUUUUUUACUCAGCGAUGUUGGACUUCAGAUGUGUAAACAACUAUCCUUUGCCCUUACGCAGCGGGAAAUAAUGACGUAGUAGAUUAAAGUCAAUUAACAACCACAUUAAACAAUGCCGCCUUUCCGGUUGUUUGAAACAUAGUCUUUGCCAGUGUCAUAUAUUUUCAAAUGAAAUUUUAUUUCACCUUAAAGCUCCAUGUAUACGUGCCUUAGACUAUCUACAUUUUAAUAAGGUGACUUAUUAAAGGUCAAUUCAAUGUGUGUGUAUGUCAGCGCAGCAUUUUCAAACUGUUUUUAUUCUUUCGCUACAUACAUAUUUAUAAUAUAUAUAGUUGUGUAUAGUUAUAUAUUAAUAUGUGUACUGUUGUAAUAUGUGAUUGACAAAUAUGAUGAAUUAUGAUAAACAAUGUAAUACAUAUUAAAGCAUUGUUACAAAAUAUACUUUAUUUGGUCAUAAAUAAACAAAUAAACUUUUACCAUUUAA